Molecule: long non-coding RNA, 390 nt
Organism: Cynoglossus semilaevis (tongue sole)
Lineage: Eukaryota; Metazoa; Chordata; Actinopteri; Pleuronectiformes; Cynoglossidae
Exons: 3
Source: RefSeq, a predicted model, not a curated record
AGAGGGAGAAGAAAGUAUCACAAACGUUUUGUCCGAAACACAGACGAUAUAGCGAAAAUUGUGAAGAAAGUAAAGGAGUAAGUGCAUGAGAAGGAGAUGCAGCGACUCCGCUUUUAUCUUGUGAAACGUUUGAACUUCGAUGACGUUGGAUUAGCAACCUGCCGCUGAAACUCAGACUUGUUUGGGGACCCCUUGAUUGACCACAAGAAAUCUUCAAUUUGAUGGCAAGCCAGAACCCCAGAGGAAGCUGUGGAGAUUCCUGCAAAUAGAAUUACCAGGUCACCCUGCAGAUGUAGUGGGAUUCACUACGCCGUAUACCUCCUUGGAAGUGAAGAAGAAGUAAAAAAAACACCACAGCUGAUUCAUUAACUGCAACUUCUAAAGAAGCUG